This 837-nucleotide ribosomal RNA is filed under the name uncultured archaeon. Its description in RNAcentral is "bacterial SSU rRNA". It matches the Rfam family "Archaeal small subunit ribosomal RNA", at positions 21 to 859 of the family's 1478-position model. The record is from RNAcentral.
GGUUACAGCUAUCGGUGUUCGCCUAAGCCAUGCGAGUCAUAUGUUCGUAAGAACAUGGCGUACUGCUCAGUAACACGUGGAUAACCUGCCCUUGGGUCCGGCAUAACCCCGGGAAACUGGGGAUAAUUCCGGAUAACGCACAUAUGCUGGAAUGCUUUAUGCGUAAAAUGGAUUCGUCUGCCCAAGGAUGGGUCUGCGGCCUAUCAGGUAGUAGUGGGUGUAAUGUACCUACUAGCCUACGACGGGUACGGGUUGUAAGAGCAAGAGCCCGGAGAUGGAUUCUGAGACAUGAAUCCAGGCCCUACGGGGCGCAGCAGGCGCGAAAACUUUACAAUGCGGGAAACCGUGAUAAGGGGACACCGAGUGCCAGCAUCCUAUGCUGGCUGUCCGGGUGUGUAAAAUACACCUGUUAGCAAGGGCCGGGCAAGACCGGCGCCAGCCGCCGCGGUAACACCGGCGGCCCGAGUGGUGAUCGUGAUUAUUGGGUCUAAAGGGUCCGUAGCCGGUUUGGUCAGUCCUCCGGGAAAUCUGACAGCUUAACUGUUAGGCUUUCGGAGGAUACUGCCAGACUUGGAACCGGGAGAGGUAAGAGGUACUACAGGGGUAGGAGUGAAAUCUUGUAAUCCCUGUGGGACCACCUGUGGCGAAGGCGUCUUACCAGAACGGGUUCGACGGUGAGGGACGAAAGCUGGUGGCACGAACCGGAUUAGAUACCCGGGUAGUCCCAGCCGUAAACGAUGCUCGCUAGGUGUCAGGCAUGGCGCGACCGUGUCUGGUGCCGCAGGGAAGCCGUGAAGCGAGCCACCUGGGAAGUACGGCCGCAAGGCUGAAACUUAA